Bos taurus (domestic cattle) is the source of this 739-nucleotide long non-coding RNA. Lineage: Eukaryota; Metazoa; Chordata; Mammalia; Artiodactyla; Bovidae. The record is from Ensembl.
CUCAGCCUCAGGGUGCUGCUAAAGCUGGGAGCCGCAGCGCCUUCAGGACGCUGCAAGGCUAGUGGUUCCGAGUCGCCGCAGCUGGACUCCAGGGUGGGGGAGGGAAGAAGCCGGAGCCGCCGCAAGCCACACGUGAAAGAAAAGCACUAGAAGGAACUUUUAGUCAUUGUUGAUUUGGCCGUUACGCUGAUGCCCCAAUCAAAAAAAGGUGAUAGAGUUGGCUAUUAGUCAAGACUCUCUACUAACCUGUGAGAUACAUAGAGGAUGCAGUACAGUUGACCCUUCCCUGAAGAGUUGGACAUGACUGAGUACACUGCUGCUGCUGCUGCUAAGUCACUUCAGUUGUGUCCAACUCUGUGCGACCCCAUAGACGGCAGCCCACCAGGCUCCCCCGUCCCUGGGAUUCUCCAGGCAAGAACACCGGAGUGGGUUGUCAUUUCCUUCUCCAAUGCAUGAAAGUGAAAGGUGAAAGUGAAGUUGCUCAGUCGUGUCUGACUCUUAGCGACCCCAUGGACUGCAGCCCACCAGGCUCCUCCAUCCGUGGGAUUUUCCAAGCAAGAGUACUGGAGUGGGGUGCCAUUGCCUUCUCCGGACUGAAUACACACACACCCUUAAAAGAGCAUGUGUGUAAUGAUUGUAACCCAAGUUAGGAAAUGAUAGAUUCUGGAAGAAAAACAUACCUAAGGUUGUAAGACUGUUUCCAGCUUUUUAUUUUUGUGGGCAUGGAGUUUGAAUGAAG